UGAGGGAGACCUACCCGCUCAAGACCGAAAGCAAGCAGCAAAUAAGUCGAGAACAGGUCAACCGGGGUCGAGCGCAGACCAGCAGCAGGCUUUUCAACUAUGAUUGGUUUGGCAAAAGUGAGGGCUAUUAGCUCAGGUGGUUAGAGCGCACCCCUGAUAAGGGUGAGGUCCCUGGUUCGAGUCCAGGAUGGCCCACUCAAGGAGAGAAGAAGCCCAAGCAAGGGGAGAACUCAGCAACCGGAGAGGGAAAAACCAAACGGACUGCUGGGAGAAACCAGCCAGCACCUUGAAAACUGCAUAAGCAAUGCGAAAACGAGCAGACAGGGAAAACCCCUGUGGAGAUAGU
RNAcentral lists this transfer RNA (346 nucleotides) under cyanobacterium GSM_I_36B_cl_10_2. Its description in RNAcentral is "16S-23S ribosomal RNA intergenic spacer". The stretch from base 122 to 195 matches the Rfam family "tRNA". Lineage: Bacteria; Bacillati; Cyanobacteriota. The record is from RNAcentral.